AGUGAACGCUGGCGGUAGGCCUAACACAUGCAAGUCGAACGGCAGCACAGUAAGAGCUUGCUCUUACGGGUGGCGAGUGGCGGACGGGUGAGGAAUACAUCGGAAUCUACUUUUUCGUGGGGGAUAACGUAGGGAAACUUACGCUAAUACCGCAUACGACCUACGGGUGAAAGCAGGGGAUCUUCGGACCUUGCGCGAUUGAAUGAGCCGAUGUCGGAUUAGCUAGUUGGCGGGGUAAUGGCCCACCAAGGCGACGAUCCGUAGCUGGUCUGGGAGGAUGGUCAGCGACACUGGAACUGAGACACGGUCCAGACUCCUACGGGAGGCAGCAGUGUGGUAUAGUAGACAAUGGGCGCAAGCCUGAUCCAGCCAUACCGCGUGGGUGAAGAAGGCCUUCGGGUUGUAAAGCCCUUUUGUUGGUAAAGAAAAGCAGCAGGUUAAUACCACGCUGUUCUGACGGUACCCAAAGAAUAAGCACCGGCUAACUUCGUG
RNAcentral lists this ribosomal RNA (492 nucleotides) under uncultured bacterium. RNAcentral describes it as "partial 16S ribosomal RNA". It matches the Rfam family "Bacterial small subunit ribosomal RNA", at positions 29 to 507 of the family's 1533-position model. The record is from RNAcentral.